CACCUAAGCAGCUCCCUAUUUGCGUGUAACUGCUUCCUCCAGCCACAUGGUAAUGCCUUGUUUAUGACCUGGUAGUCUAAAGAGCAAGGUGUUUUAGAGUAAGACAUAUGUGGAAGCUACCUCAGAUGUUAUCAGAUUCUUCUGUCCUUCCUUCGACCCUUUCAAAAAGCACAUGAGGAAACUGAGGUCCAUAAAAGCCAUUGGAAUGGCAAAGGGAGAGAGAAGGUGGAAUCCGCUUUUAUUCAAUUCUGCAUUAAAUAAUGUCCUUAAUUACUAAAGUGAAGUUCUGCUAUGUCUGAUGGGGAAGAGGCAUCUUGGCCAUCAUACAGACACAGGAAGGACCUGGAAUCUUGAUUAUUGCCCACAAGGGAGGAUACUCUCUUCUAUUUGCAGUGUGAAAUAUCCAUGUCAAUGAGGAUGACAUUGAUCCCCAAUCCCAGUAGAAGCAUUCAAGUCUAAUCACAUUUAUGAGGAGUAAAAAUAACAAAAGCAGAUUCAUAACACUGGUGUGCAUCACAUCAAAGGAGAAGAGGUGGUGGUAAGUGUAUAUAUAAUCAUAUCCUCUGCUGAAGAUUUGAACCCCUUAAAGUCAUGCAUGAGGGCUGCAAUCAACUUCUUCCAAUCCCUCAUUAAUGCUGAUAUUUUGACCUCCUGACAUAAAUUAUAAAUGUUCUUAAUGUCAUCUAGACUGUUGAAUCCUUUCCAGAAGGCUUCAAUUUACUUUGGGCAGAUCCAUCCAAGGAAUCCCUAUCAAUCAAUGGCAGCUAUAGUCUUAUGAAAUGUAUUUCUUAGGCCAGGCGUGGUGGCUCAUGCCUGUAAUCCCACAACUUUGGGAGGCUGAGGCAGGUGGAUCACCUGAGGUCAGGAGUUCUAGACCAGCCUGACCAAUAUGGUGAAAGCCUGUCUCUACUAAAAAUACAAAAUUAGCAGGCUGUGGCGGCACAUGCUUGUAACCCCAGCUACUUGGGAGGCUGUGGCAGGAGAAUCGCUUGAACUCAGGAGGCAGAGGUUACAGUAAGCUGAGAUUGCACCAUUGCACUCCAGCCUGGGCAACAAGAGUGAAACACCAUCUCAAAAAUAAUAAUAAUAGUAAUAAUAAACCUAUUUCUUAAAUAACAGGACUUCAAAGUCAAAAUUACUCCUUGAUCCAUGGGCUGCAGAAUAGAUGAUGUGCUAGCAGGAAAGGAAACAUUAAUCUCUAUGUACAUCUCCACUGGAGCUCUUGAGUGACCAGGAGCAUUGUCAGUGAACAGUAAUAUUUUGAAAGGAAUGCUUUUUUUGUUUGUUUUUUC
RNAcentral lists this long non-coding RNA (1292 nucleotides) under Homo sapiens (human). RNAcentral describes it as "HSALNT0031966". The stretch from base 793 to 909 matches the Rfam family "Metazoan signal recognition particle RNA". Lineage: Eukaryota; Metazoa; Chordata; Mammalia; Primates; Hominidae. The record is from RNAcentral.